This 75-nucleotide transfer RNA is filed under the name Candidatus Moraniibacteriota bacterium. Its description in RNAcentral is "tRNA-Thr". It matches the Rfam family "tRNA". Rfam says of the family: Transfer RNA (tRNA) molecules are approximately 80 nucleotides in length. Their secondary structure includes four short double-helical elements and three loops (D, anti-codon, and T loops). Lineage: Bacteria; Candidatus Moraniibacteriota. The record is from RNAcentral.
GCCACCCUAGCUCAACGGUAGAGCUACUGUUUUGUAAACAGUAGGUUAUCGGUUCAAAUCCGGUGGGUGGCUCAA